This 253-nucleotide ribosomal RNA is filed under the name uncultured bacterium. RNAcentral describes it as "partial 16S ribosomal RNA". It matches the Rfam family "Bacterial small subunit ribosomal RNA", at positions 524 to 776 of the family's 1533-position model. The record is from RNAcentral.
GACGAACCGUGCGAACGUUGUUCGGAAUCACUGGGCUUAAAGGGCGCGUAGGCGGCUCACCAAGUCGGGGGUGAAAUACUUCAGCUUAACUGGAGAAGUGCCUUCGAUACUGGUGGGCUUGAGGGAGGUAGGGGUCUGUGGAACUUCUGGUGGAGCGGUGAAAUGCGCAGAUAUCAGGAGGAACACCAAUGGCGAAGGCAGCUCGCUGGGACGGUACUGACGCUGAGGCGCGAAAGCGUGGGGAGCAAACAGG